Molecule: ribosomal RNA, 597 nt
Filed under: uncultured bacterium
Lineage: Bacteria
Description: bacterial SSU rRNA
Rfam family: Bacterial small subunit ribosomal RNA
Source: RNAcentral
AGCGAUCCGGUGGCGGAUGGGCAUGCGGCGCAUUAGCUAGACGGCGGGGUGACGGCCCACCGUGGCGACGAUGCGUAGGGGUUCUGAGAGGAAGGCCCCCCACACUGGGACUGAGACACGGCCCAGACUCCUACGGGAGGCAGCAGUGAGGAAUAUUGGUCAAUGGGCGGAAGCCUGAACCAGCCAAGUCGCGUGAGGGAUUAAGGCCCUGCGGGUCGUAAACCUCUUUUGCCGGGGAGCAGUGGUCCGGACGCGUCCGGGCCGGGAGAGUACCCGGAGAAAAAGCAUCGGCUAACUCCGUGCCAGCAGCCGCGGUAAUACGGAGGAUGCGAGCGUUAUCCGGAUUUAUUGGGUUUAAAGGGUGCGUAGGCGGGCAUUUAAGCCGGCGGUCAAAUGUCGGGGCUCAACCCCGGCCUGCCGUCGGAACUGGGUGCCUUGAGUGGGCGAGAAGUAUGCGGAAUGCGUGGUGUAGCGGUGAAAUGCAUAGAUAUCACGCAGAACCCCGAUUGCGAAGGCAGCAUACCGGCGCCCGACUGACGCUGAGGCACGAAAGUGCGGGUAUCGAACAGGAUUAGAUACCCUGGUAGUCCGCACAGU